CUAUUUCAUUAGCAGUUUUACUCAGCUGCUGGCAGGGCCCCAGCACGGCUGCCUCUGUGGCUAGAGGGGUGCAGGGGGUGCUGGGCUCCAGGCCAGGCAGUGCCCAUUUCCACAGAGCCAGUGCCCCCACACAGCCACAUGCAGCAGCUUCCUUGCUACACCACGGGGCCUCCCUGGGGACUCUGCACCUGCAGCGCACACACUGUCCCCACCUGGCCCUGCCCACGGGGCUGCUGCAGAGGCGGGCUGCCAGCUCUCGCUCCCUGGGGAAUCUGGAAUCCCAAACUGGGAGACGGGGCGGGGGCGGGGCGAUAAUAUCUGCACCAGCUGCGAAGAUCAAAGCACCUGUGCACGAAUGGCUGACCCAGAGUCUGGCCCCCUCAUAUGUGACCCACGCCCCGUGAAGGCUGCACCUGGAAACCUCUUUGCCACGUCGCCAUCGUGGGCUAGUCUCGAGCUGCGCCCCAGCCAGAAUCCUAUGUAUUUGCAAACUGAGGACAGAGAGGGUCAGCUGUGUGUCCACCACUGUCCACACCGAUUUUAGAUAAUUUGGUUUCCUCUUUAAAUAGCGUUUAAGGGAACGAGCAAACUGUCACCUCCUGAAACAAGUUUCCAAUAGAUUAAAGUGGGUCUUGUCUAUAUAGCACGCUCUGAAAUGAUCCUUGCCCAUGUUGCCGAUUAAAUGCUUAUGUGCUCACUGUCUCUUGGCCCCCAAAUAUAGGGCCUGCCUUAAACCUUCAAACCAAGGCGGCAGUGCCUUCGUGUUAGAGUCCACUUCUUUUUAUUGCCUCUUGCCUAGAAAAUUAUCGCAGGGGUGCACAUGCUGCAUCUCCCACGAACAGUUGUCUGAGGCUGGGCUAAUAGAAUGUCUCAUAAACCUCGAAAAGAUGUUUCAAGAACACCUCCUCCUCUUGGGGCCAUUCCCAGCCGAGUUCCAGAAUCCUCAGGCCAGCAGGGAGAUGGUGUCUGUUGGGACACUGCGGAGGGACCCCUUGUUGAGGUGGUGGCCCCAGUCCUGCCUUGGGGACCCAGCCCUGCCCUGUUCCAUCCGCAUGGCCAUGCAGGGGACCCUCAGGAGGCUCCCACCAGGCAGCUGAAAAGGCACAACACUGGGAAGACCCAGGGCCAUUCCACCAGGGUCCUGACCAGUCCUCAAAACCGCCAAGGUCAUGAAAAACAAGGCGAGUCUGAGAAACCCACAGCCUAGAGGAGCCCACGGAGUGAGGAGCAAAUGUUUCCUGGGGUCCUGGACGGGGCCCUGGGACAGGAGGGCGUCAGGGAAGUGCAGCAUCCGGCUCCUUGCCGUGGACAAUGCUGGCACUCUGGCCGUGACCAAUGUCGCCUGUGACGUGAGACCUUAGCACCCCGGGGGGCUGGGCGUGGGUGUGUGGCGCUCUCUGAACUAUCUUUGCAACUGUCUCGUAAAUUUAAAACAAUUUAUUUAUUUAUUUAUUUAUUUUGAGAUGGAGUUUCACUCUUGUAGCCCAGGCUGGAGUGCAAUGGCACGAUCUCAGCUCACUGCAACCUCCGCCUCCCGGGUUCAAGUGAUUCUCCUGCCUCAGCCUCCCGAGUAGCUGGGAUUACAGGCGCUCACCACCACGCCCAGCUAAUUUUUGUAUUUUUAGUAGAGAUGGGGUUUCACCAUGUUGGCCAGUGUGGUCUCAAACUCCUGACCUCAGGUGAUCCACCCGCCUCAGACUCCCAAAGUGCUGAGAUUACAGGCGUGAGCCACUGCACCUGGCUUUUUUUUCUCUUUUUCUUUUCUUUUUUUUUUUUUUUUGAGACAGAGUCUCGCUCUGUCACCCAGGCUGGAGUGCAGUGGUGUGAUCUCGGCUCACUGCAACCUCUGCCUCCCGGGUUCAAGCGAUUCUCUUGCCUCAGC
This 1882-nucleotide long non-coding RNA is filed under the name Homo sapiens (human). Its description in RNAcentral is "non-protein coding lnc-SLCO4A1-7:1". The record is from RNAcentral. Lineage: Eukaryota; Metazoa; Chordata; Mammalia; Primates; Hominidae.